GGCAUCUAGAAGAUUUUAUUGAUAUUGUUUUUAACUAAAUUAUGAUCAUUUUAAUGUGUACAGACGUUUAAAAAUGGUCUUAACUUGCUUCUUCAUAAAAAUAUUAAUAUAAAAGCCUCUAUAAGAUGCCCUAGAUAAUAUUAUUUUAUUUAAAUUGUAUGAGGUUAAUUCACUCUAGUUUUAGAAAUUACAGAAUAAAAUGUAUUAUUGUGAACGGAAAAUUUGCCAUGUUGUAUAACAGACUAGACAGAGACAGCACAUGCGGGUGUGGUGUCCUCUUAAAUAUCUAAUUUCGUAUUUUCGUCCUAAUUUCUACUUUACAGGUUUAAAGUUCAAAUGAUUACAAAAAAAAACUCUUGUAUACAUGUAUCUUUAAAAACAAGUUAUAAGGAACCUUUUAUUUUUUAAAUUUUUAUAAAUAGUUCAAAAAACAUCAUAAUUUUAAUUUAAAAAAAUAUACCAUGUAUAUAAAAUACUAAUUCAAACAUUUGGUGAAAAAUUCAAAUACCUGCAGAUUUAUUUUUGAAUUACAAAAAAAAGAAUAUAGAUUUUGCCAAAAACUGAUUUUCAUUGUAAAUUUCCAUAUUUUUCCCCCUUAAUUAAAAGUACCUAGGUACUGGAUAUUUUUACUUUUGAUCUCCUGAGGCCCAAAGUACUAACUAUAUUCAAUUUACAGCCAGAAGAUAUUGUUUGAAUUGAAAACAUAAGAAUUUUAAUUGCUUCAAAAGGUGAUGAGGUUAAAAAAGGAAAAAAGAAGAAACUUAAACACGCACACACACGCGCACAUAUAUUAAUAAUAUGAUCAAUACAUUUAUCAUUCUGCGGCUCAGAAUCUAAAAUGGGAUUAAAAAAUGGCUACGAUAGUCGGAUAAUACGUAUAUCUAGGAAUGUUAAUGUUUACGAAUGUGAUGGUAUCAUAAUUAUUCAUAAGUUCAGCAAGGCACCAGUGGUUAGUACCUGCACAACCUGCAGGCGCAACAAUCAGCAUAGCCGUUAUAGGUACACUCAUUAUAGAAAAAGAUUUGACUUCAACUAAAAUAAAUUACGUAUUCAAAAGAUAUUAGGUAU
Long non-coding RNA from Myzus persicae (green peach aphid), 1068 nucleotides. RefSeq lists it as uncharacterized. NCBI's taxonomy places the organism in Eukaryota, Metazoa, Arthropoda, Insecta, Hemiptera, Aphididae. The record is from RefSeq and is a predicted model, not a curated record. The transcript has 3 exons.